UACGAAGGUCCCGAGCGUUGUUCGGAAUCACUGGGCGUAAAGGGCGCGUAGGCGGCGCGGGAAGUCAGAUGUGAAAUCCCGGGGCUCAACCCCGGAACUGCAUCCGAUACUGCCGUGCUAGAGGAUUGGAGAGGUAGCUGGAAUUCUUGGUGUAGCAGUGAAAUGCGUGGAGAUCAAGAGGAACACUCGUGGCGAAAGCGAGCUACUGGACAAUAUCUGACGCUGAGGCUCGAAGGCCAGGGUAGCGAAAGGG
RNAcentral lists this ribosomal RNA (253 nucleotides) under uncultured bacterium. RNAcentral's name for it is "partial 16S ribosomal RNA". It matches the Rfam family "Bacterial small subunit ribosomal RNA", at positions 524 to 776 of the family's 1533-position model. The record is from RNAcentral.